This is a long non-coding RNA of Ailuropoda melanoleuca (giant panda), 5167 nucleotides long. RefSeq lists it as uncharacterized. The transcript is spliced from 3 exons. NCBI's taxonomy places the organism in Eukaryota, Metazoa, Chordata, Mammalia, Carnivora, Ursidae. The record is from RefSeq and is a predicted model, not a curated record.
GUUGUUUUGUUUUGUUUCUGAGCGAGGUGUGUUUUUAUUCUCCCGCGUGUUGAGCUGAAUUCAAUACCAGUUUUCACCCUUCUUGCGUUUCCUUUUCCGCAUCCGCCCUUCCGCCUUGCGCGCCCCUAAUCUGCCCCCAUCUCGGGCGCUGGGCCAGGCGCAGGUGAGCGCUCGCGGUUGCGAAUGCGGCUGGCGAUCAGGACGCUGCAGGGACACAGGGGAGACGGCAAGGGCGGCAAGGGCGAAGCUUCUCCAGAUCAAGAUCUGCCAGCGCCCCUGCCUCUGCUUUAUCUCGGGGCAGCCGUGGCUUCCUGCCUUUCCACCCACUCUCUGCAACCUGGGUGGGUUUCAUUUCAGGGUAAAGUGAAUUAACUUCUCCCUGGUAUGUCUAAAUCUGGGAGGUGUGCGUGAGGAGGGGAGGGAGCUGUUGGCCAGGACUUACUUGACCCUGACAAACACCACUUGGAGAGCAAGAAGUUACAUCUACAAGGAAGUCCGAGGCCUUGAAGCUUUACUGAGGCCCAUGGUGGGAUGGGGUGCAGGUGCCCAUAUUUCAGUUUCCCAAGAACUUCCAAAGCCUCGCGCUGGAAGGCACGGUGCACCAUGGGGGGAGCAGACCCACCUGCAACGGCUUUGUGCAUGUUACUGUGCCUUUUCUCGUCUCUACAGCAGGGCCGAGGGCCCCUGUAUCACGUGUUGGGAGCACCAGACAAGAAUCACCAGGACUCUGAACGGUGCUGAGCCCUCUGUCGCUCUGACAAGCACGGGACCAAAGGUGUGGCUGCAUGGAUGGUCUCAUUUGAGGUUCAUCCUGUGAAGGGCAGUUGAGAUGGGAGAAACUGAGCCAGGUGUGCUGGCAUAGCUUGGCCCCCUGCGUGAAGCGCUGGAGCUGGGAUUCCCACCCGGGCUAUCUGAGCCCAGAGCCUGCGCUUGGAAGCUCUUGGGCACUGUGCCUGGCAUCCGGCCAGCGUCCGAUGGAAGGAGGCACUUCUCGAUGUUUGAAGGAAGACCGGGCAUGUCCCAGCCCUACUACCUGCUAGCCUCCUUUAUGAGUUGACUUUAAUUCCAGCGUUCGUGGGGGAAGCCUGUGGCGUCUGUCACCGGAAGCACUUUUAUUGGAACUGAAAUCCUCCAAGCUUGCAUUUGCUACUUUAAAACUCUUCGGACGGUAAUGAAUAUGGAUGGGGAAUAGUUGUCUAUGAAUAUGGAGGAGCGGGUGCGUGGAGGAUGGACGACUACUUAACAUUAACCGCUGGUAACCUUUCCUCGGGUCUGACUUCCCCGCAAUAUUAUCCCGAGAAGGGUCAGCCCCCGAUGCUUUUUUGCAAAAUAUGAUUAGUCACUUCUUCCCACAUGUGCCUGCCCCUGGACCUUAUUUGCCAUCCUAUAUAAUUAUUAGAAGAAUCUUCUAAUUUUAUUUGAAAUUCUAAGCUGACACUUAUGUCAAAGUGCCACGACACAGUAUUGUGUGUAAUUUCUCUUUUGUUAGCCUCAUUUGGGCUCCUGAAGAAUUAACACUCAGAGGAAAGAACCACCCCAUUCACUUCCUUAUUGCCACAGUUCCCUGCUGGACCUCCUAACUGUCGCCUGGAGGAACGGUUCCAAAAAGGUCCCACAUUCCUGUCCCCUCCCAGGAGUAAUUCGUGUUCGUUGUAAAGCUUGGGAGCACAGCAUACUACACAAUUCAACUACAAUUCAUCUGUGUUCUCACCAGCCGUCCACAAACUGCCAUGUAAGAGAUCUAGCUUUUUUCAUGCAUGUACCUAGGUGAGUAUCAAUGGAUAUACUUUUGAGACAAAAAUAAGACCAUGUUUUUAUGCUGUGUCCCAAUCUACGCUCUCCUGCGUGUGCUUCCUAAACAUGAUUCCUGCUAUUAAAUUUUUUUUUAAGAUUUUAUUUAUUUAUUCGACAGAGAUAGAGACAGCCAGCAAGAGAGGGAACACAAGCAGGGGGAGUGGGAGAGGAAGAAGCAGGCUCAUAGCAGAGGAGCCUGAUGUGGGGCUCGAUCCCAUAACGCCGGGAUCACGCCCUGAGCCGAAGGCAGACGCUUAACCGCCGUGCCACCCAGGCGCCCCCCUGCUAUUAAAUAUUCUUACCUGUGAUUCUAAGCCCGCAUGGUGUUGCAUCAUGGAGAUGGGCUGUCAUUUACUCACCAGGCCCCUGUUAUGGCAAUUAGGUCAUUUCCAGUUUUUCUCUGCAAACACUAGCUUUGGUUACUCCCUUUUCAGAUUUAGAAACACUGGGACAGACUGGGAAAUCGAAUACUAGACUUUGGUUGAGACGGAGGGGAUGAGUGUAAGGGUGAAUUGAGAAUGAUACCCAGUUUUCAAGCUUUGGUCACCUGGGAAGAUGAUGGUGGCUCAGGAUGGAGGAAAGAUGAUGAGUUUUGCGGCGAGUCUGACACCGAGUUGUUAGACAAUAGAGGUGCCUGAUGGCCAAGUACAAACAAGGGUCUGGGCUUGAGAUAGCCAUCAGGAGUGAACUUCCUCAAGGUGGGAUUGAAGGCUUUAGCACAGGGCUGUCCAAGAGAAGUUUAACGCAAACCACGAGUGUCAUCUUUAUAUUUCUCUCGGCCAGAGUAAAAACAUAAGUUAAAAGAAACGGGUGAGAAUAUUUUAAUAAUGUAUUUUAUUUAACCCAGUGUAUCCAGACUAUGGUUGCCCUGUGUGACACUUGCUACAUUUUAAGUGCUCAAUAGCCUUACGUGGUUAGUGAUUACCAUAGUGCACUGGGCAGCCUUGGGGCAUCAUAUCAUAGCAGCAUUCCCUUUGUCCCCAGGCCAUAUUUGAUAAUACCUGGAGACAUUUUUGUUGUCACCACUGGAGAAGAUGCUAUGGUACCUCGUGAAUAAAGGCCAGGGAUUUAGCAGAACAUCCCCCGUUUGCAUAGGGAAGUCCCCCAAGCAAAGAAUCAUCCAGCCCAGAUUGUCUUUGGGGCCAAGGUUGAGAAACAGUGUGGUGGGCAGCUAAUAUUUGUUCAAGGGGUCAUGGAGUUCAUUAUGUGUCAGGCACGUGAGAGAAGCCUCAUGGCAUCCUCAGGGCAACCCUAUGAAAUAGGCAUUAUUGACAUCCCCUUAUUACUGAUGAAUUAACUGAGGUCUAGAGAAGUUAGGUGCAUCUGUCCAAGGUCCUGGAGCUGGGCUUCGAACUCAGACUGUCUGAGUCAAGAGUAGAGAGUGGCUACGUGGAAGAAAGCUUCGGCAUUACCUUCAGUUUGAGACCUCAUCUGCAGUUCCUAAGGAAUAAACAUGGCACUACUGUAUUCCUCUUUUAUCUGUGAAUUAUUUUUAUUAAGCGUGUUCACUUCAUCAUAUCGUGUGGUCAAGCGGAAGACUGUCUAGUCUCACGUGGCUACUGAUGGGCUCUGUAGUCUCGGACAGGUCAAUUAAACACCCUGAAUUCGAGGCAUUUUCAUCUGUAAAAUGGGCACAAGUAACACCUCACGGGAUUCACGUGGGGCCUGAACGCAUUAAUGUGUUUGGAAGCCUUGAACACCUCUCCACCGGGUGCUUGAGAACUCUGAGGCAGGACUGUAUCACCACAUCCUUGGUCUCAACAAUCUGUCACCGGUAAAGGAAAGGCUCCGAUGCCAGAUUUUUGGAGAACCAGGAGAAUGUGCCCGUCUCAUCCUCUUGAAGCUCUCCAUCGCGCGAACGAGAUGCUGGUCAACAGAACGAUGUUUCUUGAGCAUUUCAGAGAACAGUCCUUGCCAGAACUCUUCCCUGUGCCUGGUGCCUUGAAACAUUUUAGAAGCCGUCUGAUUUCUGAGGCAGAAUAAAGCUGAAGAGGGGUAACAUCCAAAAUAGCACAUUAAAAAAAAAAAAAAAAGUCUGAGCAAGGGCAUUUGCAGUAUGGAAGCAGAAUGUUAAUUGAAAUCUGACUUUGCCAACAGGAGCUUUGGAAAGAGCCCAGUCAGGAUUCGACUAAUUAAGACAUCUUCAAAAUUGAACAGGUUGGACUGUCUUAAAGAAGAAUUGAACCAAAUGAAAACUAUAUGCUAAGGAAUGUGACGCUAGAGGCUUGGAAAAGGAAAACAAACAAACCUGAGAAUACUUAUGGGAAAGUCAAAGGAAGGCAGGAGAGAUUCUGGCUCUGUGGACUUGAGCUUGUCAAACAUGCCAGGCUGGAAACCACAUUUCCUAACGUGUCUCUGACGUUGGCCGGUUGAUUUCGUUGUUAGGCCGAUGCGCCGUUCACACCACCUAGCAGAGAAGCUGGUUUCCUUCUGUUGGCGCUCGUGGAUGUUUUUUAGGGACCAUUUUCCUCAUCCUUGCACCACUCCGUGAAAACCCAAAAUAUCCAAACAGAGCUCGUGUUUAUUGCACAGCAUUGUGUAUUUUUUAAGAUGUGUUCACGCGGCUUAUCUCUCGGCUUCCCCUCCUUUGUUUCCUACCGAGCCAAUCAAGAAGUCUUUAUUUUAAUGCGUUGCUAAAUAAAGUAGUCGUUCUACAAAAAGCACAGAUAAGACGCCUAAUUUUUAAGGUUGUGCUAAGUACUGAGUUAGCCUGACAGCCUAUAUUUAGGAUAAUGAUUUAUUUGCUCUUCGGGAAAGCUAACAAUUUGCCGUAAAAUUUUGGAUACAAAAGGUGAGGUUAUACCAACGACACAAUAUAAUCAAUAGUGUUCCUCAGUACAUCGGAAGAUUCCAGUCCUACCGAAAAAUAUUUUGACAAGACUUCAAACAGUUAAAACUUCAUCGUAUUUGCUCAUUAUUGGAAACAGUAGUGUGUGUGUGCUGACUGCAUCACAAUAAAUAUUUCUGUGAUCAGGAAACUUGUUACAGUCCAACAGCAAGUUUGCUCAAGCCUUAAAUUAUUUUUCAUAAUCUGUAAAUAAUGUUGACAUUACUUUGGCAUUAUAAUAAAUAUUAAGGCUAUUUGGAAGUGAGUACGCUAGUUAGAUGCCUGCCUAACAACACAAAUUUAUUUAUAUUAUUGGCACAUAGGAUAAGAAACAUCGCAGUCUUCUGCAUUUGGCAAACAAGGCUGACAUAUUUCGUAUUAUCAUUACAUUUGUUUGGGGGUUCAAAAGUCAUAUAAUUAAUGCGCUAAUAAACUAUUUUGUAGAGCUGUUUUUCAGAAGCACAUUACCAAAUGCUUUUUGAAUAACAUAAUAACUGAAGUCUUGUUCACAAUAAAUAGCAAUUGAUAAUAAAACAGUUAACUGAA